GAUUGGACGUGCUUGCACGGACUUGACGUUGGUUUACCAGCGAGUGGCGGACGGGUGAGUAACACGUAGGUAACCUGCCCCAAAGCGGGGGAUAACAUUUGGAAACAGAUGCUAAUACCGCAUAACAAUUUGAGUCGCAUGAUCCAAAUUUAAAAGAUGGUUUCGGCUAUCACUUUGGGAUGGACCUGCGGCGCAUUAGCUUGUUGGUAGGGUAACGGCCUACCAAGGCUGUGAUGCGUAGCCGAGUUGAGAGACUGAUCGGCCACAAUGGAACUGAGACACGGUCCAUACUCCUACGGGAGGCAGCAGUAGGGAAUCUUCCACAAUGGGCGCAAGCCUGAUGGAGCAACACCGCGUGAGUGAAGAAGGGUUUCGGCUCGUAAAGCUCUGUUGUUAGAGAAGAACGUGCGUGAGAGCAACUGUUCACGCAGUGACGGUAUCUAACCAGAAAGUCACGGCUAACUACAUGCCAGCAGCCGCGGUAAUACGUAGGUGGCAAGCGUUAUCCGGAUUUAUUGGGCGUAAAGCGAGCGCAGGCGGUUUGAUAAGUCUGAUGUGAAAGCCUUUGGCUUAACCAAAGAAGUGCAUCGGAAACUGUCAGACUUGAGUGCAGAAGAGGACAGUGGAACUCCAUGUGUAGCGGUGGAAUGCGUAGAUAUAUGGAAGAACACCAGUGGCGAAGGCGGCUGUCUGGUCUGCAACUGACGCU
RNAcentral lists this ribosomal RNA (709 nucleotides) under uncultured Bacilli bacterium. RNAcentral describes it as "bacterial SSU rRNA". It matches the Rfam family "Bacterial small subunit ribosomal RNA", at positions 47 to 747 of the family's 1533-position model. The record is from RNAcentral. Lineage: Bacteria; Bacillati; Bacillota; Bacilli.